RNAcentral lists this ribosomal RNA (435 nucleotides) under uncultured bacterium. RNAcentral describes it as "partial 16S ribosomal RNA". It matches the Rfam family "Bacterial small subunit ribosomal RNA", at positions 29 to 507 of the family's 1533-position model. The record is from RNAcentral.
AACGAACGCUGGCGGCAUGCCUAACACAUGCAAGUCGAACGAUUGCCUUCGGGUGAUAGUGGCGCACGGGUGCGUAACGCGUGGGAAUCAGCCCUUAGGUUCGGAAUAACAGCUGGAAACGGCUGCUAAUACCGGAUGAUAUCGCGAGAUCAAAGAUUUAUCGCCUGAGGAUGAGCCCGCGUUGGAUUAGGUAGUUGGUGGGGUAAAGGCCUACCAAGCCGACGAUCCAUAGCUGGUCUGAGAGGAUGAUCAGCCACACUGGGACUGAGACACGGCCCAGACUCCUACGGGAGGCAGCAGUGGGGAAUAUUGGACAAUGGGCGCAAGCCUGAUCCAGCAAUGCCGCGUGAGUGAUGAAGGCCCUAGGGUUGUAAAGCUCUUUUACCCGGGAAGAUAAUGACUGUACCGGGAGAAUAAGCCCCGGCUAACUCCGUG